This 1695-nucleotide long non-coding RNA is filed under the name Homo sapiens (human). Its description in RNAcentral is "HSALNT0220899". Lineage: Eukaryota; Metazoa; Chordata; Mammalia; Primates; Hominidae. The record is from RNAcentral.
GCAUCAGCAUCAUUAUAAAGCUCCUCAGGUUCACGCUGUCACACCUAAGAAUGAGCAGGUGAGAAGAUGCUGCUCGGUUCUUGCCUUAAAGCGGGAUGAUCCUGCCAUCUUGGAGAAGACCCAGGCUGGUGUUUGCUCCUUUAAGCGACUGGGACUCCCAAAUCUGCAGACUUUCUAGCAUCCUGCAGGGUGGCCAUGGUCUAGUUGAGCAGCCAGAAAGAAGCUCAUCAAUUGGAAUGGAGUUUGUCUCCUGUUUCUAGUUUCUUCAUCCAGAGCGGAAUUUUUCAAGAUGUGGUCCAAGGACGACCUGAGUCAGACUCACCCCAGGUCUAGGUGAAUGUCCACAACCACUGAAGCAGAAUCUUCAUGGGGUAGAUUCUAAACAAAACCUACAUUUGGAAGAAGCUCCUUAAGAAUUAUUCUGCAUAAUAAAACAUAUAAAACAGACACCUAGAGGUAUUAUUAGCUUGCUGCAAAAGUAGUUGCAGUUUUUGCCAUUACUAUUGUGCCAACCUAGUAUUAUCAAUUUAUUGCUAAUUGACACAGAUAUUUAGAUGACUCUUUGAAAACUUAUAUUUUUGGCCAGGUGCAGUGGCUCACACCUGUAAUACCAAUGCUUUGGGAGCCUGAAGCAGGAAGAUCACUUGACUGAGGCCAGGAGUUUGACACCAGCCUAGACAACAUAGUGAGACCCCAUCUCCACAAAUUAACACACACACACACACACACACACACACACACACACAUUUUUGUCCAAUGGCAGACAUCUCAUAAUCGGCAGAGUGAAGACUCAAACCCUUUGCCUUGUGUUCCUUCCCCUAUGUGACAGCUGCCUUGCUUUUGUCUGUCGAACCCUCAGGGGCAAAGCCCUGCACAGCCUGUCACCUGCUUGACACCAGAAAGCCCCGUCACUUUUUGUGGCAGGUGAAGGGUCCCUGGAUUUCACUCCACCUCUUAAAUUUCCUCUCCCUGUCCUUUCCAAAACACAUGCUGCAAACCAAAGAAUCCUGAAAUGUAUUUUAAGCAACUGUAGGAUAUAUAUCCAUGUAACCCAGAUAUGAGGUAACUUAUAUCAAUCUUCCCUCACCACGCCAUUCCCCAGCAAACGGAAGUGACUGCACACAAAUUUAAAUAACUGUUGACUCAACUCAGCUUUUUGCACCAAAGCAUAUCAGAGAUUACUGCUCACUUGUGAUUGGCUGUCCUUGAUAGCACAUCUGCCUUGGUCCAUUCAGCUGUGACGAGGGACAUAGGACACCUGGGCAACAGAGACUGUGGGGGGACAGUUUCAUUUAGAGUGGUGGGCAGAGCAGUCACCAUACCUGACAUUUCUAGUACAAUCCACAAGGUAGUCAAGUCCCAGAAGACUGCUGAAAGUACAUUUUAUAAUAACUAGUGUCAGGCCUCUGAGCCCAAGCCAAGCCAUCGCAUCCCUUGUGACUUGCACGUAUACAUCCAGAUGGCCUAAAGUAACUGAAGAUCCACAAAAGAAGUAAAAACAGCCUUAACUGAUGACAUUCCACCGUUGUGAUUUGUUCCUGCCCCACCCUAACUGAUCAAUGUACUUUGUAAUCUCCCCCACCCUUAAGAAGGUACUUUGUAGUCUCCCCCACCCUUAAGAAGGUUCUUUGUAAUUCUCCCCACCCUUGAGAAUGUACUUUGUGAGAUCCACCCCUGCCCGCCAGAGAACAACUC